GGAAAUGGUCGUGUUUUCGGUGCCCACUGAAGUCACUGUGAUCUUGUUAGAUAUCGAAGGUACCACAACCCUGAUUGAUUUCGUGAAGGACAUUUUAUUUCCUUACAUCAAAGAAAAUGUUAAAGAGUAUCUGCAGACACAUGGGGAAGAAGAGGAGUGUCUGCAUGAUGUCAAUCUUUUGAGGCUGAAGAAGAUGCCCACCUGGAUGGGGCUCUUCCAAUCCCUGCAGCAUCUGGAAAUGGGGUCGAUGAACUGCAACAGGUAAUCCAGGCCAUCGUAGAUAAUGUGUGCUGGCAGAUGUCUCUGGACCGAGAAACCACAGCACUCAGACAACUGCAGGGCCACGUGUGGAGGGCAGCAUUCACAGCUGGACACAUGAAAGCAGAGUUCUUUGAAGAUGCAGUUCCAGCCAUCAGGAAGUGGAGAGAAGAUGGAAGGAAGGUGUAUAUCUAUUCUUCUGGAAGUGUAAAGGCUCAGAAACUAUUAUUUGGGCAUUCUACAGAGGGAAAUAUUCUUGAGCUUUUUGAUGGUCACUUUGAUACCAAAAUUGGACACAGUGGAGAGUGAGAGUUAGAGAGAGAUUGCAAACAGCAUUGGAUGCUCAACCAACAACGUCUUGUUUCUAACAGAUGUUCCUCUAGAGGCCAGUGCUGCUGAGGAAGCAGGUGUGCAUGUAGCUGUGGUGGCUAGACCUGGCAAUGCAGGAUUGACAGAUAAUGAGAAAACUUCCUACAGCCUCAUCACAUCCUUCAGCGAACUCUACCUCAGCAUGGAGGAAGACUUCCAUAGAAGACCAAACUGUUUCUCAGAGUUGUCCCCCUAA
This is a non-coding RNA of Marmota flaviventris (yellow-bellied marmot), 823 nucleotides long. NCBI's taxonomy places the organism in Eukaryota, Metazoa, Chordata, Mammalia, Rodentia, Sciuridae. The record is from RefSeq and is a predicted model, not a curated record.